CCUCUUCUAGUGCAUCCCACCCCACGAGGGUACGCGAUUUGGGAGCGAAGCGAGGAGCCUCAGUAACUCCCACGCAGGCAAGAAGGAGGAGAGCAGCCGGCUCUAUUUAAAAUCCACAUAGCUACCCUGCAAAGGAACUGUUAGUGUCUCCAUUCCGCAGGUGGAAAAGCCCAGGCUCAGGAGUUGGCCCUUGGUUGUGAUCCUACAGAAUCCACUUUCUUCACUUGGCUACCCGAACCCCUGACUCUCCUGGUCUUCCUCACUCCACUGGCACGCCUGUCUCUCUGAUGGGCUUCUUCUGCCUGCUUUAGCCACACUAGCCUAAUUGCUGGUCCUUGAACUUGCCCCAUUUCUUCUUGCCUUGGCUGUUCACUUAGCCUGGAAUACUCUUCCCCCGUGUGUCACUCAGAUCACUCAAGAGGUCCUUUUAGACCACCUUGUAGAAAGUCCCCCACCCAAAUUUGCUUAAGCAGCUUGGUUUUCUUUUAGAGCAGACACCACUACCCAACAUGAGACGUUUUAUUAUUGCCUCUCUCCCUCAGCAGAUCAGCUCCGUGAGUGCAGGAACUUCCAUGUUCACGCUGUAUCCUCAGUUCCUAGAACUGAACCGGCACACAGUUGGCACAGAAUGAAUAUUUGUAAAAAUUCCUGUGAAGUGAAUGUUUACGAUUGUCUUGCUAACGUGGGAAGGGGAGAAGGGAAGAAAGGUUGUUGUUUUAGAACACAAAAGUCAGGAGUUGUUCACCAGGAAGUUGGUGCCGAUGGAGCUGACUCGAUAACAGCCUAUGUAUGCCCAGAGGAAAAUGCCUGGCCAGUGAGUGAGGACGGGUCAGGUUGGCUCCCAUCAGAAAAACGAGGGGAGAGGAAAAUGGAGAUGUUUCCUCCAUGCGUCUAGGUAAUGGCCAGGAGAUAGGAGUGAGGGGAGGUUAGGGUCACAGACCUGUCCCUUUCUGUGGCCAGGGGGUGCAGAAAGGAACGGACACUUGCUCUAUCCCUCAGGAACACGCAGAGUCCACUGAGGCAUGAACACCAGCCUCACCAUCUCUUGUCCAGAGGGACUUAGAAUCAGUACAUUUCUUGCAUCAGAAAGCUCCAGAAGGUCAGAAACCGUCAGGACAACAUUGUCCAACAUGAACUAGAUUUAGAGAGCCAGACAGACCCCAGGCAACCUUCUCCAGCUCUUCCCACUCUCACCUUUGUCAGGUGAAACAAUCCAUUCAGGGACAUGCUUGAAGGAGGAAGUUGUUAGGCUGACUGGCCAACAGUUGGGAUCUGGACUUGGUAGUUUGCCUAACCCAUGCUGAUCUGCCCAGACUCACCCAGCCCUCUGCUUCUCUCUGCAGACUGCCUUCAGCUGGGUAGAGGCAUUUUCUCUGUCCUUCACACAGUACUCUCGUCUGCACCUGUCAGUUUACCUUUCUGUUUUACCCUAGUAGGUCAGAGUGCAUAGAAUAGUGCCUGGCCCUUGGUAGACAAUCAUUUCAGUUGUCUGUGGCUGAAUAGCACACAACCCCAAAACGUAAUGUCUUAAAACUAAUUGUUAUCACAAUUGUUUCCUGGGCUGUGCUGCUCCACAUGGUGUCAGCUGGGGCACGGGCACUGUUGGAAAUUCCAAAGUGCCCCCCCACCCCAUGGUUGGCAGUCGGUGCUGGCUGGCGGCUGGGUCAGAAUGGGUCGUGGGUCAGGGCCUUGGUUCUUCUUCCCAUGGACCUCUCCACAUGGUUGCUUGGGUUUUCUCACACACUGGAGGGUGUAUCCCAAGAAGGGACAU
Molecule: long non-coding RNA, 1771 nt
Organism: Pipistrellus kuhlii (Kuhl's pipistrelle)
Lineage: Eukaryota; Metazoa; Chordata; Mammalia; Chiroptera; Vespertilionidae
Exons: 3
Source: RefSeq, a predicted model, not a curated record